This is a long non-coding RNA of Temnothorax curvispinosus, 2825 nucleotides long. RefSeq lists it as uncharacterized. The record is from RefSeq and is a predicted model, not a curated record. The transcript has 3 exons. NCBI's taxonomy places the organism in Eukaryota, Metazoa, Arthropoda, Insecta, Hymenoptera, Formicidae.
UGUGUGUGUGUCUCACAUGAUUCGCUGUUGAUAUCGGCGCGGUGAUGCGCGCACUCGCGAUGAAACGAGCAUGAGCACGCGCGCGCAUGUGUGUACGUGAGUAAUGCUACGCACAUGUGUGCGUGUAUGCGCGCGCGCGAGUUGAAUUUUCUGCGCCGCGCAACACACGACGUCGGCGUCGGAGCAACGUUGCAUUGGCGCGCCACGGUGAUCAUGACAGCAUGACGUCAACCGGCCGUGUGUUAUUUUCGAAAGGGGACUCGACGGCGGCGACGCUGCACGGAGAAAUUGCGAGGCGGCGCAAACAGCCAGAGCACGUCGCUGUCGGGCGGAGGAACAACAAAGCAAACUUCGGGCGAUGUGAGCGAGUGAGCGAGCGAGAAUGUAAUGCGGGAUAUGUCGAAAGGACUCACUCGGUUGCGUCUUACGUGGAUGGAAAGUAUUUCUUUAAAACACGCAAAUUGCCACGACGAGACACGUGUGUGCGCGCGCGCGCGCGCGACUGGAUCGAACGACUCGAUUUGACAAAUGUCCUCGGGGACACGACCGGCGGUUCUCGAGUUUUACGUGAACCGGGGCCAAGGUCGAAACACUAUCGUUCUACCAGAUCGUCACGUUAGCGGCGCAAAAUUUAACCCGCGACAUAUCUAAAUCUCUAUAUAGGUGACGUCGAAAAGGUGGAGUUCUUGGCGCACGAAGGCACCCGAGAAAUUCGUCGCUAUUCUGGAGGCUGAUCCAAACGACGACAAGUUUAGCGGAGUAAAGUCCGCGGCAGAUUAGCCACGCGCUAUCGCAACGAGCGCGCGUGGAUAAGAUUGUGCCACGCCGCGCCGCGGUCGACCGGCUUCAGGCUUCAAGGACUCCGCUUGUUCAAGGCGGUUAAGACGUCAAGACGAAAUUUCUCGACGAGACUCCCGUUGCUGAACACGCGACCUGUUUCGCACAGCAGCGGUCAUUAAGCCGCGAUAAAAUAAGUAUUUAAUAAUAAACAAUAAUUUAAUUACCAUAAAAUAUUUUGUAUAAGAAAAGCAGUCUAUAUGUAUAUACAUAAAUCGCCCCGUUAUGUUUCGUUUAGAAAUGCACACUUGAUUUGUAUUAGGAAAUAUUAUUUAUCACAUGAUGGUUCUAUCGGAUCAUCGUAGAUUGCUUUUUCAAAAACUACUUUUUCAUUAAGCAUCUACACAUUAAUAUUGACAAGACAUCUAUGAAUUUAUUUCGCAAGUUAAUUUUACGUGACAUUUGUUGCUUAACGUAAAUAAUACGAUUCGGUUCUAUAUUUACAAAUCUAUAUAUUUACACAUCCGAUCAAAAAUUGACGAUUAUUUCGCAUGAGGAAAUUAUUUUUCUCGUCAAAUAUAUAAGUUUUUCAGAAAUGCCCACAGAAAGUUGGCCGGUAUUACAGAUACCGUUCUUAGCCUUUUUCGGCGACAUGCGACUCCCAGUCGAAAACAGCGCGGAGCGACGUCAUCAGGCGCGAAACGCGCGCGAGAGUCUGCGAUGUUUCACUCCCCCGAGGGACGACGGGCACGUGUACCGAAUCGGUGGUCGCAGAAGGCCAGAAGGGACGCCGAACGGGGCGAGGUAUACGGGGGUUGUUCCGAUGCGUCUCGACGGUAACUAUCCAAUACGUGACGCCGACCCACUCAUUCACUCCUCCAUCAACCCCCGAGGCACCCCGUGCGAUACCUACGAAUGCGCGUAGGCGAUCUCUCCCGUACGUAGGACGUAGGUACGCGCGCACUAUGUAACGUAUAUAACGCGCGUAUAUAUGCCUUUCGACUGGUAAAUACUCUACCCUAUAUACGAGGCGGCGAGGAGGGAAGGAGGAAGGAGGGGGGGAGGGAGAGAGAGAGAGAGAGAGCGCCUACGCGCCAGUCGCGCCUACAUUAGGGGAUGAAUAAAGGAAGGUCGCCGAAAACGGAGGGUCGGCACCCCUGGUCCCCAGUGCCUCUCAUUCGUACGCCUAUCUAUACGAUUGUUCGCUCAUCCUAUAGAGAAGCACGCACGCAUUACGUCUUCGGGGGACUUCUCACGAUAUGCUCGUCUCACGCAAUGUUAUUAAGAUUGCAUACGUUGUUGACAUCGAAAACUCAAGUUUCUCUACGUGUUCAAAGAUAAUAGAUAUUAAUUAUAUUUGUUUAUUUACGUAUUCCUUAUUAUUGUUAAUGUCUGUAUUGUAUUCAAUUAUGUGUACGCGCGUGUAUUCAGAUCAGUUUGUUAACAAAUAAAAUAAAACUAAUAAGAUCGCGUCUAGAAUUAGCCAAGAACCAUGUGGCUCCUUGCGUAAAUCGGACUGAGCGUCGCUGAUACUAUCUAUAGGUAUAGGGGCGCGCGACAUCUGCGGUGUCCUGAACGAAGGGUUCUACCCCGAAAACCGGGGAAUUGGGUGGGGAUCAGAAGCAGGAGAAAGGCCGCGAAAAAGAAAAAAAGUGAAUGAGAGAGAGUGAAAAACUCGAGGACGGAAAAUUGAGAGAUGAGGCAUGCCGAGAGGACGAGCGGAGACGAGGAGUAGAAAGGAAGGCGACAAAAGGAAAGAGACGAAAAUAGAGAGGAAAAGGACGUCAGGCUCCUCUCGAAAUAAAGCAAUGGAAAACGUCAUCCAGUCGUUAAUUGGUCCAUGCCAAUUCUAGGAGUCAAAGGUUUCCGUGCAUUUCCUGUAUUUCGCGAUGUCUCAAUUUGUUUCGACAACGAUAAGGAUAUUUCGAGCGUAGAUCUUAUACGACGAACAAAUUUAACCCUCCGAGAACACACUGGGUCAAUUUGACCGUUUUUUUAUUUUUUAAUAAAAAAAUAAAAUUUUGUUCGUAAAUUACGUUUUUUUUCAA